UAAACGUAAACAUCUGGCUAACGCACACAACGACACCUCCUCUUGCCGCUAGAAAACCAACGAGGGACGAGGAUGUGCGUACGUACGCAUACAAUUUGGCGAUGCUCAUCUCUUUGUUGUGUGUCUUGACUUGUUCUCCCUGUGUCUCUCUAACCGCGUUUUGUGCGCCAGCUGUGUCGCGCGGACACGCCUAGACCUCCCCUUUUUUUUCCCUCGCGAAACCUGUGUCUCUUCGUCUGCUCAUGCGCGUGUGUAUGCGUGUGGAUACGCAUGGAUGGAAAUGGGGCACAGGGCUCUUUUAUUGUCUCAUGUGGUCUCCUUUGACGCACUUCGCAUGCGUCGAUGAGGACACUCCACGCUCUCGCACGCUCGUUUUACACACGUCGAUGCAUGUGUACGACGAGCAUGACGCCCGAAAGGGUGAGCGACGGUCGCGGCUGCAGGCUGUGCCGAGGCAGCGGCGUACUCAGCUGGAAUGCACGCACCUUCGGGUAAGACAAGGAGACACAUGAAGUCGCAACGCCAUAAUCAACAAAUACAUUGUAGGUGAU
RNAcentral lists this unclassified non-coding RNA (551 nucleotides) under Leishmania donovani. RNAcentral's name for it is "gene:unknown". Lineage: Eukaryota; Euglenozoa; Kinetoplastea; Trypanosomatida; Trypanosomatidae. The record is from RNAcentral.